AUUUUAUUUCCCAACAUACCAAAAAUACAAUACAGCUUGAGAACAAUAUUAUAAAAAUAUAAUUUUUCAACAAUGCUUGAGAAACACUUAUGUUCCACAAACAUUUCUCAAGUCUGUCCCUUGUUGACAAAUUAGUUUUGAUUUUUUGUGAAAAUUGUCAGCAAGAAAUUAUUUUCUUUGGCAAAAAACUAAAUCACGCGAAUUUAGGACCCAUUUGUGGACCGAACCCUUAAGAUUGGAAGCAUCAAAAAAGUUGCAGGGAUUCAAUAAAUGUGUAGUCUUAGUGGAAGAGAUGCAGAAGUUCAAAUAAGGGAGAAGAAAGCGUCAGGGUAUCAAGGCCACAUGCGGCAGUGACUACUGGGAUGUCCAUCAAGAAAAAACGUUUAAAAUGAUUAAAAACUAAAAAAAAUAAUAUUUUAUACUAUUACAAAAAUAAGCUUAUUAUAAUAUUAUUUUUGUAAGCUUAUUCUACAAUUUCAAGUAUAAGCUUAUAAAUAAGGGUUCCGUUUCGAUUAUUCUAUACUUGUUAUACAAACAUUUUUCAAUGUUUUCUCAAGAUUUUCUCAAGCUUAAGGCUUAUGUUCAUAAGCUUAUUGUAAUAUUAUUCUCAAGCCAUUUUGGUAUGUUGGGUUCAUACUCACAAACAU
Molecule: long non-coding RNA, 647 nt
Organism: Musca domestica (house fly)
Lineage: Eukaryota; Metazoa; Arthropoda; Insecta; Diptera; Muscidae
Exons: 2
Source: RefSeq, a predicted model, not a curated record